UAGAGCCUUAGGUUUGGAAAGAAGUGA
This 27-nucleotide non-coding RNA is filed under the name Macaca fascicularis (crab-eating macaque). RNAcentral also lists the same sequence under 1 other name. Lineage: Eukaryota; Metazoa; Chordata; Mammalia; Primates; Cercopithecidae. The record is from RNAcentral.